Molecule: ribosomal RNA, 492 nt
Filed under: uncultured bacterium
Lineage: Bacteria
Description: partial 16S ribosomal RNA
Rfam family: Bacterial small subunit ribosomal RNA
Source: RNAcentral
AGUGAACGCUGGCGGUAGGCCUAACACAUGCAAGUCGAACGGCAGCACAGUAAGAGCUUGCUCUUACGGGUGGCGAGUGGCGGACGGGUGAGGAAUACAUCGGAAUCUACUUUUUCGUGGGGGAUAACGUAGGGAAACUUACGCUAAUACCGCAUACGACCUACGGGUGAAAGCAGGGGAUCUUCGGACCUUGCGCGAUCGAAUGAGCCGAUGUCGGAUUAGCUAGUUGGCGGGGUAAAGGCCCACCAAGGCGACGAUCCGUAGCUGGUCUGAGAGGAUGAUCGGCCACACUGGAACUGAGACACGGUCCAGACUCCUACGGGAGGCAGCAGUGGGGAAUAUUGGACAAUGGGCGCAAGCCUGAUCCAGCCAUACCGCGUGGGUGAAGAAGGCCUUCGGGUUGUAAAGCCCUUUUGUUGGGAAAGAAAAGCAGCAGGUUAAUACCCCGCUGUUCUGACGGUACCCAAAGAAUAAGCACCGGCUAACUUCGUG